This 470-nucleotide long non-coding RNA is filed under the name Numida meleagris (helmeted guineafowl). Its description in RNAcentral is "lncRNA (ENSNMEG00000013668.1)". The record is from RNAcentral. Lineage: Eukaryota; Metazoa; Chordata; Aves; Galliformes; Numididae.
CUCCUUUUCUAUUUCCUACUUGUGAAGAAAGACAUUUAUUUGCAAAUCUCAGCACUAUUAUACACUUGCUCUAAUGUACUGAAUGAAGGUGAUAGAAAAUCACGUUUUCUUUCUAAAGCAGAAGACAGUAAGCGGAUCGAGUCCAGUUCUUCAUCCACGUCCUCAAAGCAGCAGUGCAAGAACUGGGGCGGUGGCAAAUGCAGUGAGACCAGCAGAGAGUGGCCCUCUGGACCCCUGCACAGGCUCACUAGGUAAAGAGAAUGAAUUUCAGAAAUAUCUGUUAAAUCGGGCAAGACAUCUUGGGAAGAGCGAACCUGGUCCUUUGGAAUCUGCACAUAUUUUCACCCGGAAACACGCAAAGGUGGGAUAACUUCUUUAAAAGAAUGAAUCUGAAUCAAAAUGCAUCUCCAAAGAAAUUCUAGAUUACUUUGUAGUGUUUUGUGCAAUGUGUCUGUAUUUCUUUCACAGCA